AUGGCCAAUACCCGGUCAGGAGGGGCGAACAAUGAGGGAGCAGGGGGCACCAGUGCAAGGAAAGGCAGCGCCGCCACCAAUGCAAAAGACCCCAUGUCUGCAACGACCUCCACCUCGUCUGCCAGUGGAAGGGAGUCUAGAAGCUUGUCCACACGUGAAACAAGCGAUGAGCAGAAGCCAAACCUCAGGAGGUCGAAGCGAGAAACAAAAGGAAAGAAUCCCAUUUUGACCACCAGUUCUGCCUCUACACCUGUUUCGCAGAAAUCUAUUAGGGGCAGGAGCAACCCCAGCACACCUGGUACCCCGAAAACGUCAGCAAGGAAGCUAAAAGGGUCGACGAGGAAAGCUAGUACCCCAAGAACGUCCGACAGAGUAAAGAAAAGUACUGUUUCAGCUUCUACUGAUUCAAAUGAUUCAAAUGGAGUUUCUAGUCCAGUGGCUACUCCCGACAAAACCGUAAAAGGAGAAAUUGAUGAACAUAACUCAACAAAGAAUGAUGCUUCCGAGAGUGGUACUAUGCCAUUGAAGAAGCAGAAAAGGCUAACCGCACAGAGCUAUACAAAUCCCUUCAAGACAUCUUCUGAAGAAUAUGAAAAAUCCCCUGCCUAUGAGGGAAAUGCUUCCAAGGUGCACGCAGAAGACAAUGGCUGUGUUUUGAGGUAUGAAGAAAGUGGCGCACAUGAAGAAGAUAACCAGGCACAUUUAAGUCAAGUCGCCAAUAAAUUUUUGGAAGGCUAUACUUCUGGCCUGUGUGAAGUUCCCAAGGUGAUAUUGGAGACAGAUGGGUUGAAAUCUGAUGUUGAAAAAUCUGAAGAAGAUAAGCAGGCAUAUUUAAGUCAACGCGUCGAUAAAUUUUGGGAAGGCUAUACUUCUGGCCAGUGUGAAGCUCCCGAGGUGAUAUUGGAGACAGAUGGGUUGAAAACUGAUGUUGAAAAAUCUGCUCCCAUUUCAGAGGACUUGGUUACAUUAUCAAGUCCUGUACAGGCACAUAUGACUGCUGAUCUGUGCUCAAGCAAUCCUGCAAUGGAUGCUACAGACCCAACUGAUGACUGUUCAGAGCUAGCACUUAAUGUUGCAAUGGGCCAGAAAGCGGAUUCAUCAAAAUUUGUGGAGUAUUGGGUUCCUGCUCGCCUUUCACGAGUGCAACUAGAAGUCUACUGUUAUACCUUACUUUCAAACUCACCAGCGCUUCGAUCACAUUCAAAAACUGACAGUGUUGGUGCUCUUCGCAACAUUCUUGUAUCCCUCCGGAAGUGCUGUGACCACCCUUAUCUAGUAGAUAAAACGUUGCAUUUAUUACUUACCAAGGGACACCCAGUAACUGAUAUCCUAGAUAUUGGAGUGAGUGCAAGUGGCAAGCUACUGCUUCUUGACAAAAUGCUCCAAGAAAUCUGGAAAAAAGGGCAGAGAGUUCUUAUCCUUUCCCAGUCUUGUGGUGAGGCUGGCAAUCCAAUGGGUGACAUUUUAGAUGACUUUGUCCAUCAAAGAUUCGGGUUUGAGUCAUAUGAACGCGUGGAGCGUGAUCUCAAUGUACGAAAGAAACAGGGUGCAAUGAGUAUGUUCAAUGACACGACUAAGGGCCGGUUUAUUUUCUUGAUUGAUAGUCGUGCGUGUGUCCCAAGCAUUAAACUAUUAUCAGUUGAUGUCAUCAUCAUAUAUUGUAGUGAUUGGAAUCCCACAAAUGACUUGAGAGUCCUCCAGAAGAUCAGCAUAGAGUCACAAUCCGAGUGUGUGCCCAUUUUUCGUUUGUAUUCGUCUUGUACAGUGGAGGAAAAGGCUCUUAUACUUGCAAAGCAUGAUCAUAUUCUUGACAGCACUGUCCAGAAUAUAAGGCCUAUCCUGAGCCAUUCUCUGCUUAGCUGGGGUGCAUCAUUUCUCUUCAGUAGACUCGAAGGGCUAAAAAAUUAUGCAUGUUUACACAAGGAUUCUGAUGCUGAGAAACUGUUCAUGGAUAAAGUACUUUUGGACUUAAAGAAGUUAUCCACGAAAGAUGAUCCCAGCACUAAGAUGAGCAAUGCUGCCAUAUCACAAGCUCAUCUGAGUGGACCUUUUUAUUCUAGAGAUAGUCUUGUAGUAGGUGAGAGGGAGGGGAUCUCUGCACCUGAUAGUGAUCUGCCAAAGUUCUGGGUAGAUUUGCUAGAUCAGAAGUCUCCUCGUUGGCAGUAUAUAACUGAGCAGGCACAAAGAAGCCGUAGAAAGAUACAAAACAUGGAAGAUGGGAAAAUUCCUGCCGAUGAGGCUGAUGAAGCCAGUACCAAACGUAGAAAAAUUGCUGGAAUCUUGGAUUCAUCUGCAAAUGUUUUAGCUGGUGAAGACAAGGACUCAAUAUUGCGUGAAACUAAUACGACAUCUAGUUCUCACCGAAAAAUUGCUGGAAUCUUGGAUUCAUCUGCAAAUGUUUUAGCUGGCGAAGACAAGGACUCAAUAUUGCCUGGAACUAAUACAGCAUCUAGUUCUCAUCAAACAUCAGUUGACGACACAUGGCAGGAACAAGGGGUGGAAAAUCUUCAGGACACACAAAAAAGUCUUCACAUCCAAUUGAAGCCAGAGCUCUCAAAGUUAUAUGAAUUAUUUGAACUACCGGGGAGUGUUAAAUGUUUAUGUGAGGAACUUCUUGAGUAUACUUUGAAGAAUCACCAAGUCAGUCAGGUGCCGAAGGACAUACUGCAUGCAUUCAACAUUGCACUGUGCUGGCGUGCUGCUUCUCUCUCAAGGCAUAAGGUUGAUCAUAGAGAAUCACUGGCCCUUGCUGUAGAACACUUGAAGUAUGAGUGCAGUGAAACUCUUGCUGAGAAGGUUUAUAAGAAGCUAAGGAUCCUAAAGAAGGAGUUCUCACAUAGAGUAGGCAGAAUAAGCAAGAGUAAUCAAUCAAUUUCAGUAAAGAACAUAUCACCAUACCAGCAGGAGACCUCAACUAAAUAUGGAAGUGACAAAUCAAUCCCUAAGCAGGCAGCAUCUGUUGGUGGGAACGAAUCACAUCAAGAGGAUUCACAUGACUUAGUGAUUGAGCCUAUCGUACCAGGAGCGAAGGAAGUGCUAUAUGUUCCAGAGAUUCAUGAAAAACAACAUUUAUCAAAGGAUGCACUUCUUAAUAGAAUCACAGAGAAAAGAAUUAAAUUAGUUGACAUGGUUUUCUCCUUGAGAGAAAAGAAUAUCCAUGAUAAACAAACAAAUGAGGUCGCAAUGUUUGACAUGCACAGGCACAAGGGAGUGGACAAACUGAGAGAAGCAUGCAGAAUAGUUGUGGAACAUCUUCGUAGGUCUCAAGCUGAUCCAGAGGACAGAGGUGGUCAAACAAAGCUAAUAGUUGAAUGGUUCACUAUGCUAUUAUAUGCGUUUCUGAAGCACAUGAGGUACCAGCGUGAGAAGCUUGACUUGCAGCAAUCAAUGGUGUGGACUAAGGAGUUACAGUUGAAGGAAAAUUUCCUUCACGAAGCAAAAUUUGGCCAAUUAGAUCUUACUUUUGAUGAACAUAUUUAUUUACCAGAUUCAGGCUUUGCUAUUGAGGAGUUCAGCCACUUUAGCUCCUGUGUUGAUACAGCAACUUUGGCAAACUGUCAGCAGUCUUUGCAUGAAACCUCAGCGAUGGAAGUUACAUUGGUUCGUAGUGUGAUUCCAUCUGAUGUUAUCAAUGCAGAAGCAGCAAGAAAUGGUUCUGCUGAAGUUCUUAUCCACAAUGAGGGAAUGCCAGCAUCAGACGGUAUUGGUUUGACAGAGAACAGGACCAGCAAUAGUUUUGAUUGCAUCGACUCGCAAGGAGGGGCAUCUCUGUCUGUUCAACACCAAGUAAAUUCUAGUCCUGCAAUUGAUAAUUCUAUUAAUCAGGAAUCUUCAAGUGGUGACCGUAGAAGGACUCAACAUGUUGAGCAACAGAGUGGUGUGGCUUCGCAACCAUUACCCGGAGAGACUGACCAACAUUUAGGAGAUGCUGAAAUGGAAGUUAACACCAGCAAUGGGGACAAUACUCAGGCAGAUCCACCUUGCCUAGAACCAGAGACUCUGGCUCCUGUGCCCAGCCAGGCUUCCUUGCAAAUGUCCAAGGAAGUUGAAGCUGAGGCCAAUCUUGUACUGCAGUCAGCCCAACCAAUUGCAGCUCCAGCACAACUUCUGCAAAGAGAGGCAGAACAAGUAGACCGUUCUGGUAUGAUACCAGCUCAGACUUUGCAACCUGAAAUGGAACCAUCAGCAUCCAGGGAAGCUUAUACGCAGGCAGAUCUGAUAAUUCAGUCUGCACAACCAAGUAUGGUGCCAACUGAGCUCUCACAGAGAAAUGUAGAACAAGCAAGCCUUUAUCAUGUACCAUCAUCUCAGUGUUUGCCAUCUGGAAUGCACCCAUGGGUUCCACUAUCCAGUAUUCUGCUUGAAAGAACACACUCUGAUCAGUGUCAACCAAGUCAUCAACCCGAGGCUGCACUUGGUUCUUCAGCAAAAAUGGUGGCAUCAAUGGUGUUUAAUCAUCCACCUGUUGGUGAUGAACCACUGAAAAAUGAGUUGCACAGAUUACGGUCAUACAUUGACUCGCUUAAUAAAACCAACGAACUAAAGAAAUCACAACUUAGGACUGAGUGUAGCCAAGAAAUAGACAAGGUCAAACAAAAGUAUGAUUUGUUACUUCAAGAACAGGAUUCCACUCAUCUUCAGCAAACAAAGACAAUUGAUAAUUUAUGUGAGAAAGUUCUCCUCAACCAGUCAAUAGCUGACUAUUUUCGGGCUAAAUUCAUAUCUUCUUCUGGUGCACAAGCUAGAGCCCACAGCCCUCCAAAUCACCAGACACCCCAGGCCUCUCAGCAAGUUUCCCCGUGGCCUUCAGCGGUGGCAUCGACUGCAUCACCAGCUGCGUCGUCGUCAGCUGGUCGACCACCAGUGUUGACACAUCAUAUCCAACCAUUACAGGUCGAUCGACCAUCACCAUCAUCACCAGCUGGUCCACUACCACAUGUCCAACCAUUAAAGGUCGAUCGACCAUCACCAUCAUCACCAGCUGGUCCACUACAACAUGUCCAACCAUUAAAGGUCGAUCGACCAUCACCAACAUCAUCGCCAUCUUCGCAAGUUGUCAGACCUCGCCCCUCCAUACUUAACAACAUUGUUAGAUCACCGUCAACUACUUUUAGUCUUGCGCCAGUUCUGCCACGGGGAAGCUUUGGAGUCCAGAGUGAACUAGCACGUGCACGUGCACCUGCUCCUCAUCUUCGGCGCAGGUUGCCUCCACAGGUGCAUUCGAUGGCAUCUGCAAAUCAGCAGCAGCUUCCAACUAAGCUGGAGAGCAUGUCUGCAUGGACACGGGCUACCCCUGUGACUCCAGUAAAUAUAAGACAAUCAUGCCCACAGGCAGUUCCCCCAGGGAACCCAUCACUGUCAAGUUUGCACCCAAGUUUAUACCCCACUUUAGCCGCACUCUUGGGGCCAUCAAGUUCACAGCAAAUUCAGCAGGUUCCACUACUGCCAUCAAGUUCACAGCCAACACGCUUGUCGUCGCCAGUACCUUCAACUCCAAAUCCAGUUCUGCCACUAACAUCACCGCGAGGUUUGACUAUGACAUCUAGCGUUACCUCAGCUGCGUCGAAUGUGUUGCCAAGUAGGGGUGUUGGGCCUUCCGCAUCAGGCACGACGCAGUCAGAUUCUGAUUCAGCACGCUGGAUGAAUGGCUAA
This 5652-nucleotide ribosomal RNA is filed under the name Triticum aestivum (bread wheat). RNAcentral's name for it is "partial small subunit ribosomal RNA". Lineage: Eukaryota; Viridiplantae; Streptophyta; Magnoliopsida; Poales; Poaceae. The record is from RNAcentral.